UUUGAAGUGUGGACGCCAGUCUGCAUGGAGCCGACCUUGAAAUACCACCCUUUAAUGUUUGAUGUUCUAACGUUGACCCGUGAUCCGGGUUGCGGACAGUGUCUGGUGGGUAGUUUGACUGGGGCGGUCUCCUCCUAAAGAGUAACGGAGGAGCACGAAGGUUGGCUAAUCCUGGUCGGACAUCAGGAGGUUAGUGCAAUGGCAUAAGCCAGCUUGACUGCGAGCGUGACGGCGCGAGCAGGUGCGAAAGCAGGUCAUAGUGAUCCGGUGGUUCUGAAUGGAAGGGCCAUCGCUCAACGGAUAAAAGGUACUCCGGGGAUAACAGGCUGAUACCGCCCAAGAGUUCAUAUCGACGGCGGUGUUUGGCACCUCGAUGUCGGCUCAUCACAUCCUGGGGCUGAAGUAGGUCCCAAGGGUAUGGCUGUUCGCCAUUUAAAGUGGUACGCGAGCUGGGUUUAGAACGUCGUGAGACAGUUCGGUCCCUAUCUGCCGUGGGCGCUGGAGAACUGAGGGGGGCUGCUCCUAGUACGAGAGGACCGGAGUGGACGCAUCACUGGUGUUCGGGUUGUCAUGCCAAUGGCACUGCCCGGUAGCUAAAUGCGGAAGAGAUAAGUGCUGAAAGCAUCUAAGCACGAAACUUGCCCCG
Molecule: ribosomal RNA, 646 nt
Filed under: Escherichia coli
Lineage: Bacteria; Pseudomonadati; Pseudomonadota; Gammaproteobacteria; Enterobacterales; Enterobacteriaceae
Description: partial 23S ribosomal RNA
Rfam family: Bacterial large subunit ribosomal RNA
Source: RNAcentral